UACGAAGGGGACUAGCGUUGUUCGGAAUCACUGGGCGUAAAGCGCACGUAGGCGGAUUUGUAAGUCAGGGGUGAAAUCCCGGGGCUCAACCUCGGAACUGCCUUUGAUACUGCGAAUCUUGAGUCCGAUAGAGGUGGGUGGAAUUCCUAGUGUAGAGGUGAAAUUCGAUAGAUAUUAGGAAGAACACCAGUGGCGAAGGCGGGCCCACUGG
Molecule: ribosomal RNA, 211 nt
Filed under: uncultured bacterium
Lineage: Bacteria
Description: partial 16S ribosomal RNA
Rfam family: Bacterial small subunit ribosomal RNA
Source: RNAcentral